UUCACAUAGUUUUUCCACCAUUCAUUUUUCCCACAGGGCUGUGUUUUGUUUAGGCUCACCGUGGUGUGAUGUUUUGAUAACCAUGUAAAUCUCUCUAGGACAAGGUGACUGAGGGUGAAUGUACACUAGAUAAAUAGCGGUAAAUUGCUGUGUGCCGCUUAGGCCGCCCGUUGUGACUCCGGCAAGAAUUCAGCAGAACAAGUUUGUAUGUAGGUCUGGUUAUUAAAUGGGUACAUAGUUCAUUAGUAAUAUCCUCUAAAACGCUCUGGUGACAAACUUUGCUGCCCUAUUUCCAGUUGUCCACAUGGCUGGGAGAACCUAUUCAAGUAAGUAAGUAAAUGGAUUUUGAAAAUGUAAAAAAACAAUGUAUUAUUAGCUAACUAGCUACAGUGCAGGCUAACUCAAAUGAGCUGAUAAAUUACCUAUCUAACCAACUUCAAAUACUGUAUAGAUAGAUAGCUAUCUAAGUGAAUUAAAUUUCACCAGCUACCUAACUUAAUAUUAGCUAGUUAUCUAUUUAUCACUGAAAAAACAAACUCCAAAUGCAUUUGUAGGUAGCUAGCUAACAGCCAUGGAGGGUGAAAGGAUAGCAGCCCCAACUGUCAGUGAGAGAGGAGGCUAUUCUGGAUAAGGCAUGUACUUUUGUGUAGUUCCUGUUCCUAAAAGUGAGGACUAAGAUAAUAGUAACAUAAUAUUCAGUGUGGUGUAAUUUGACUAUAAUGAAGUCUGUUUCUUGUGAGGUUUUCUGUCCUCAGAUAAAGAGCUCUAUGAAAGCCAGUCUACAUAUGAAGAGGUCCCAAUGAAGAGCAGUGGUUCUCAGUCCUGGGGACUCAAAGAGGGGCAUAUUGUUGUUUUUGCAUCAGCACUGCACAGCUGAUUCAAAUGAUCAACUCAUUAUCAAGCUUCAAGUGAUACCUUGUAACUGGAGAUUCCUACAGUUACCGUGUAGGGCACUGCAAGGUCGGGUGACCAGGGUCAUCUGGGACUGCCUCCUGGAGGAAUUCAGGUGUGUGAAGGCUACCGGUGUCCUGCGUAACUUCAUGAAGAUGGACUCGAGGACCAGGAGGGGACCUGCAGCUCACCGCCAAGUGCCAGAGAAGUCUGCUGCUCUGCAGGAUUGUUCAGUCAUUUUUUAAUCAAUGUUCAUAAAUUCCAAUUAUCUUUAUCUGGUCUUAAAUAAAACAGACAGAAUUCCAAGCU
Molecule: long non-coding RNA, 1200 nt
Organism: Oncorhynchus nerka (sockeye salmon)
Lineage: Eukaryota; Metazoa; Chordata; Actinopteri; Salmoniformes; Salmonidae
Exons: 2
Source: RefSeq, a predicted model, not a curated record